This 430-nucleotide ribosomal RNA is filed under the name Anaerococcus tetradius. RNAcentral's name for it is "bacterial SSU rRNA". It matches the Rfam family "Bacterial small subunit ribosomal RNA", at positions 39 to 453 of the family's 1533-position model. Lineage: Bacteria; Bacillati; Bacillota; Tissierellia; Tissierellales; Peptoniphilaceae. The record is from RNAcentral.
GCGGCGUGCAUAACACAUGCAAGUCGAACGAUGAAGAUAUUUAGAUUCCUUCGGGAUGAAAAAUAUUGGAUUAGUGGCGGACGGGUGAGUAACGCGUGAGUAACCUGCCUUACACAAGGGGAUAGCCGUUGGAAACGACGAAUAAUACCCUAUGACAUAGACUCUUCGCAUGAAGAGCUUAUCAAAGAUUUAUCGGUGUAAGAUGGACUCGCGUCUGAUUAGCUAGUUGGUGAGGUAACGGCCCACCAAGGCAACGAUCAGUAGCCGGCUUGAGAGAGUGUACGGCCACAUUGGGACUGAGACACGGCCCAGACUCCUACGGGAGGCAGCAGUGGGGAAUUUUGCACAAUGGGGGAAACCCUGAUGCAGCGACGCCGCGUGAUUUAGAAGGCCUUCGGGUUGUAAAAAUCUUUUGUAUGGGAAGAAAAUG